Molecule: ribosomal RNA, 371 nt
Filed under: Leptosphaeria sp. GUf-3
Lineage: Eukaryota; Fungi; Ascomycota; Dothideomycetes; Pleosporales; Leptosphaeriaceae
Description: bacterial SSU rRNA
Rfam family: Eukaryotic small subunit ribosomal RNA (bases 1-317)
Source: RNAcentral
GGCUCCACCGUAGCCAGAAGAGCGCGGGAAAUCCUUAAAAAACUGUGUCGUGCUGUGGGGAUAGAGCAUUGCAAUUAUUGCCUCUUCAACGAGGAAUGCCUAGUAAGCCCGGGCAUCAGCAUGCGUUGAUUACGUCCCUGCCCUUUGUACACACCGCCCGUCGCUACUACCGAUUGAAUGGCUCAGUGAGGCCUUCGGACUGGCUUGGGGAGGUGGCAACGACCCCCCUGAGCCGGAAAGUUCGUCAAACUCGGUCAUUUAGAGGAAGUAAAAGUCGUAACAAGGUUUCCGUAGUUGAACCUGCGGAAGGAUCAUUACCUUUCAAUGCAGAAGAGGUGAGAUGGUUGAGUAUCUCGCCUCUCAAUUCUCGC